This is a regulatory RNA element of Cnuibacter physcomitrellae, 102 nucleotides long. It matches the Rfam family "mraW RNA". NCBI's taxonomy places the organism in Bacteria, Bacillati, Actinomycetota, Actinomycetes, Micrococcales, Microbacteriaceae. The record is from Rfam.
UCUGAUCCGCAUGUCGUGACUCCCAGCUGUUCGACGCCCUGACGCACUUCCCCAGCGCCAGGUCCCGGACGGAUGGGGAUCAGGGCAGGCGGCCGGACCCUA